This is a non-coding RNA of Schistosoma haematobium, 45 nucleotides long. NCBI's taxonomy places the organism in Eukaryota, Metazoa, Platyhelminthes, Trematoda, Strigeidida, Schistosomatidae. The record is from Rfam.
AUCCAGAUGACGAGUCCAAAAGGGGAUGAAACAUCCGUCCUGGAU